CAGGGAAUCUUGCGCAAUGGACGGGAGUCCGACGCAGCGACGCCGCGUGGGUGAAGACGGCCUUCGGGUUGUAAAGCCCUUUUCUGGGGGAAGAGAGAGGACGGUACUCCAGGAAUAAGUGUCGGCUAACUACGUGCCCGCAGCCGCGGUAAUACGUAGGACACCAGCGUUAUCCGGAUUUACUGGGCGUAAAGCGCCCGUCGGCGGGUCUUCAAGGCGUUUGUGAAAGCCCUGGGCUCAACCUGGGGAGGUCAAGCGAUACUGGAGGAGUUGAGGGUGGCAGAGGGGAGUGGAAUUUCCGGUGUAGCGGUAAAAUGCGCAGAUAUCGGGAGGAACACCAGUGGCGAAGGCGGCUCCCUGGGUCACCCCUGACGCUGAGAGGCGAAAGCUAGGGG
Molecule: ribosomal RNA, 395 nt
Filed under: uncultured bacterium
Lineage: Bacteria
Description: bacterial SSU rRNA
Rfam family: Bacterial small subunit ribosomal RNA
Source: RNAcentral